AUGAUAGUGUAAUGGGUAGCACAUUCGCCUUGCACUGUCAAAGACCUGGGUUCAAAUCCCGGUAAAAAUG
Xyrichtys novacula (pearly razorfish) is the source of this 70-nucleotide non-coding RNA. NCBI's taxonomy places the organism in Eukaryota, Metazoa, Chordata, Actinopteri, Labriformes, Labridae. The record is from the annotation of a GenBank genome assembly.